This 429-nucleotide ribosomal RNA is filed under the name Pseudomonadota bacterium. RNAcentral's name for it is "Proteobacteria bacterium partial 16S ribosomal RNA". It matches the Rfam family "Bacterial small subunit ribosomal RNA", at positions 355 to 776 of the family's 1533-position model. Lineage: Bacteria; Pseudomonadati; Pseudomonadota. The record is from RNAcentral.
UGGGGAAUAUUGGACAAUGGGCGAAAGCCUGAUCCAGCCAUGCCGCGUGUGUGAAGAAGGUCUUCGGAUUGUAAAGCACUUUAAGUUGGGAGGAAGGGCAGUAAGCGAAUACCUUGCUGUUUUGACGUUACCGACAGAAUAAGCACCGGCUAACUCUGUGCCAGCAGCCGCGGUAAUACAGAGGGUGCAAGCGUUAAUCGGAAUUACUGGGCGUAAAGCGAGGGUAGGUGGUUCGUUAAGUUGAAUGUGAAAGCCCCGGGCUCAACCUGGGAACUGCAUCCAAAACUGGCGAGCUAGAGUAGGGCAGAGGGUGGUAGAAUUUCCUGUGUAGCGGUGAAAUGCGUGGAUAUAGGAAGGAACACCAGUGGCGAAGGCGACCACCUGGGCUCAUACUGACACUGAGGUGCGAAAGCGUGGGGAGCAAACAGG